GUUGAGGUCUCGACUCAGUGGUGUGGUUCAUGAUCAGCUUCAGAGCUCUGUAAGGGACGUUUUCAGACAUUGUCUUCAGUGUGUCUGGCGGCAAAUCAACUGAACAAGCCGCUUGGCUGUGUGUUAACCAACAGAGAUAUAUACACCAAGAUAUUUAUAUACGUUUCCUUACCAAUACUGUGAUCACCACUUGGGCUCCUGCACCAGUCGGGCUCCAGCUCCACGUGGGUCCCAGGUCUUCCUGGGCUCCAUAAGCUCCUGGUUACUCCAGUCAUCUGGGUAUCAUCUACCAUCAUGGGAAGACUAAAUACCUUCUGCUCUGAACACGGAAAGAAAUAUAGGAUAAUUGAACCAAGGAUGUCAAGAACACAUCCAAGCGAAACCUACACCGACCAUA
Molecule: non-coding RNA, 397 nt
Organism: Cherax quadricarinatus
Lineage: Eukaryota; Metazoa; Arthropoda; Malacostraca; Decapoda; Parastacidae
Source: RefSeq, a predicted model, not a curated record